UAGCUAGUUGGUGAGGUAAAGGCUUACCAAGGCGACGAUCUGUAGCGGGUCUGAGAGGAUGAUCCGCCACACUGGAACUGAGACACGGUCCAGACUCCUACGGGAGGCAGCAGUGGGGAAUUUUGGACAAUGGGGGCAACCCUGAUCCAGCCAUGCCGCGUGAGUGAAGAAGGCCUUCGGGUUGUAAAGCUCUUUCGGCCGGGAAGAAAUCGCAUGGGCCAAUACCCUGUGUGGAUGACGGUACCGGAAUAAGAAGCACCGGCUAACUACGUGCCAGCAGCCGCGGUAAUACGUAGGGUGCGAGCGUUAAUCGGAAUUACUGGGCGUAAAGCGUGCGCAGGCGGUUUUGUAAGACAGGCGUGAAAUCCCCGGGCUUAACCUGGGAACUGCGUUUGUGACUGCAAGGCUAGAGUACGGCAGAGGGGGGUGGAAUUCCACGUGUAGCAGUGAAAUGCGUAGAGAUGUGGAGGAACACCAAUGGCGAAGGCAGCCCCCUGGGUCGAUACUGACGCUCAUGCACGAAAGCGUGGGUAGCAAACAGGAUUAGAUACCCUGGUAGUCCACGCCCUAAACUAUGUCAACUAGGUGUUGGGUGGGUAAAACCAUUUAGUACCGUAGCUAACGCGUGAAGUUGACCGCCUGGGGAGUACGGCCGCAAGGUUAAAACUCAAAGGAAUUGACGGGGACCCGCACAAGCGGUGGAUGAUGUGGAUUAAUUCGAUGCAACGCGAAAAACCUUACCUACCCUUGACAUGCCAGGAACUUGCCAGAGAUGGCUUGGUGCCCGAAAGGGAGCCUGGACACAGGUGCUGCAUGGCUGUCGUCAGCUCGUGUCGUGAGAUGUUGGGUUAAGUCCCGCAACGAGCGCAACCCUUGUCGUUAAUUGCCAUCAUUUGGUUGGACACUUUAACGAGACUGCCGGUGACAAACCGGAGGAAGGUGGGGAUGACGUCAAGUCCUCAUGGCCCUUAUGGGUAGGGCUUCACACGUCAUACAAUGGUCGGUACAAAGGGUUGCCAAGCCGCGAGGCGGAGCCAAUCCCAGAAAGCCGAUCGUAGUCCGGAUUGCAGGCUGCAACUCGCCUGCAUGAAGUCGGAAUCGCUAGUAAUCGUGAUCAGCAUGUCACGGUGAAUACGUUCCCGGGUCUUGUACACACCGCCCGUCACACCAUGGGAGCGGGUUCCGCCAGAAGUAGGUAGCCUAACCGCAAGGAGGGCGCUUACCACGGCGGGGUUCGUGACUGGGGUGAAGUCGAAACAAGGUAGCCGUAGGGGAACCUGCGGCUG
Molecule: ribosomal RNA, 1286 nt
Filed under: metagenome
Description: bacterial SSU rRNA
Rfam family: Bacterial small subunit ribosomal RNA
Source: RNAcentral